This is a long non-coding RNA of Gossypium arboreum, 922 nucleotides long. RefSeq lists it as uncharacterized. The transcript is spliced from 7 exons. The record is from RefSeq and is a predicted model, not a curated record. Lineage: Eukaryota; Viridiplantae; Streptophyta; Magnoliopsida; Malvales; Malvaceae.
CAUGUCACUUGUUCACUCAAGUAACAGAUCCUGAAACUGAUUUGUUUUCUUGCAGAUUGCACUAUCGGUGCGAGCUGUUCAAUGUUCUUCAACUUCAAACAAUUUAGAGUGUGUUUUCUCUGAUUUUUAACUUUAUGAUUAAGGCUUCCUUUGGUUCACCGUUUAAAGCCAGUGAGGUGCAGUUGGACUCCCAACCUCACUGGGAAGCUGUUUGGUUGAGUGUUUCAAUGCAACCAAAAUCAAUUUUCACCACACUGCUAUUUCAAAAAUUAACUGGAGCUUUCAGCAGCAAUUUGGCGGCCAAAUUCUGCUGAUAACGGGGAAAGAAAUACCUCUGCUGCAAGCUGUGUCAACUCCUCCUCAAUCGAAGACUGAUAAGCCUGUGAUUUACUCAAAAGAUGGAAAUGUCACUGCAUUGAUAUGGGGAGCAUCACCACAAUCACGAUCUGAUCGGCAGAAGGACCGAGUUGAGACAAAUCCUGAACAGUUGGCAGCUGCAUCAGUAUAAAAGAAAAUUAGUUCUCUGGUCACUAGUGUUGGCCUUUCCAGUGAUUCCUAGUGAUGAUUUAAAUCUUGUAAAUCAUGGUUAGAUAAGUCAAAGUAAACAGGAGGGGUCUGAAAGAGGGACGGGAUUACAAAAUUCGUCAACUAUUUCUGCUCAACAUAAGAAAGUUGGUGAGAAAUCUCUUCUUUCAAUUUCUUCAUUAGUGCAGGUACAUCAUUUUGAGCUGCAAUUUUGAUAGAGGUGAAUCGAGUUCUUCUAACAGUAAAAGUGACCUUGAAAUUGCAAUGUUAAGGGAAACCAUUGCAAAUAGUUUAAUGAAUCAAUAUUUGUAAAAACAAAUUUAUAUCAAAACCUAAUUUCUAGUAAUAAUGAAACUUGUUAUGUCUUAUGUUAAUAUAUAUAUUUUUUUAUUGAAAA